GGUUUCUCUGUAUAACAGCUCUGG
RNAcentral lists this non-coding RNA (24 nucleotides) under Cricetulus griseus (Chinese hamster). Lineage: Eukaryota; Metazoa; Chordata; Mammalia; Rodentia; Cricetidae. The record is from RNAcentral.